RNAcentral lists this ribosomal RNA (254 nucleotides) under uncultured bacterium. RNAcentral describes it as "partial 16S ribosomal RNA". It matches the Rfam family "Bacterial small subunit ribosomal RNA", at positions 524 to 776 of the family's 1533-position model. The record is from RNAcentral.
UACGUAGGGUGCGAGCGUUGUCCGGAAUUAUUGGGCGUAAAGGGCUCGUAGGCGGUUUGUCGCGUCGGGAGUGAAAACCCAGGGCUUAACUCUGGGCUGGCUUUCGAUACGGGCAGACUAGAGGCAUGCAGGGGAGAACGGAAUUCCUGGUGUAGCGGUGAAAUGCGCAGAUAUCAGGAGGAACACCAGUGGCGAAGGCGGCUCCACUGGCCGGUACUGACGCUGAGGUGACGAAAGCGUGGGGAGCGAACAGG